RNAcentral lists this ribosomal RNA (494 nucleotides) under Bacillus subtilis. RNAcentral describes it as "bacterial SSU rRNA". It matches the Rfam family "Bacterial small subunit ribosomal RNA", at positions 38 to 514 of the family's 1533-position model. The record is from RNAcentral. Lineage: Bacteria; Bacillati; Bacillota; Bacilli; Caryophanales; Bacillaceae.
GGCGGCGUGCCUAAUACAUGCAAGUCGAGCGGACAGAUGGGAGCUUGCUCCCUGAUGUUAGCGGCGGACGGGUGAGUAACACGUGGGUAACCUGCCUGUAAGACUGGGAUAACUCCGGGAAACCGGGGCUAAUACCGGAUGGUUGUUUGAACCGCAUGGUUCAAACAUAAAAGGUGGCUUCGGCUACCACUUACAGAUGGACCCGCGGCGCAUUAGCUAGUUGGUGAGGUAACGGCUCACCAAGGCAACGAUGCGUAGCCGACCUGAGAGGGUGAUCGGCCACACUGGGACUGAGACACGGCCCAGACUCCUACGGGAGGCAGCAGUAGGGAAUCUUCCGCAAUGGACGAAAGUCUGACGGAGCAACGCCGCGUGAGUGAUGAAGGUUUUCGGAUCGUAAAGCUCUGUUGUUAGGGAAGAACAAGUACCGUUCGAAUAGGGCGGUACCUUGACGGUACCUAACCAGAAAGCCACGGCUAACUACGUGCCAGCAG